RNAcentral lists this ribosomal RNA (209 nucleotides) under uncultured Pelagophyceae. Its description in RNAcentral is "partial Bacterial small subunit ribosomal RNA". It matches the Rfam family "Bacterial small subunit ribosomal RNA", at positions 1175 to 1383 of the family's 1533-position model. The record is from RNAcentral. Lineage: Eukaryota; Pelagophyceae.
GGGGAUGACGUCAGGUCAUCAUGACCCUUACGGCCAGGGCUACACACGUGCUACAAUGGCGCGCACAGAGGGCUGCAAACCCGCGAGGGGGAGCCAAUCUCACAAAACGCGUCGUAGUCCGGAUCGCAGUCUGCAACUCGACUGCGUGAAGUCGGAAUCGCUAGUAAUCGUGAAUCAGAAUGUCACGGUGAAUACGUUCCCGGGCCUUG